Molecule: long non-coding RNA, 304 nt
Filed under: Elaeis guineensis (African oil palm)
Lineage: Eukaryota; Viridiplantae; Streptophyta; Magnoliopsida; Arecales; Arecaceae
Description: long non-coding RNA (EGUI_LNC066359)
Source: RNAcentral
UCUAAUACUGAUCGGAGUGACAAGGUGGUGGUCAUAACUAUAAAAAAAAAAUCAAAACCUAAUUAGUAUAUAAAUUGAUUAAGCCUAAAGAUAUGGAUUUUAGUCUAAAGGUUCUUCUACUUUUUUAUUUGAAUUGAUAGCCUCUACCUUCAAUUCGAGGAAUUACACUAAUUUCUUAGUGGGUACUAGAAUCCACAUGGACUGCACAUGGAUCGAGUAUGGCUCGGCCAAUCCUUGUGUACUCAUGGAUAGGUUCUUAACUAAUUAUUUCAGCAAAAUAAUUUUUAGUAUUUAAUUUUACCCC